This 441-nucleotide ribosomal RNA is filed under the name uncultured bacterium. RNAcentral describes it as "bacterial SSU rRNA". It matches the Rfam family "Bacterial small subunit ribosomal RNA", at positions 8 to 495 of the family's 1533-position model. The record is from RNAcentral.
AGAGUUUGAUUAUGGCUCAGAGCGAACGCUGGCGGCAGGCCUAAAACAUGCAAGUCGAACGAAACCUUCGGGUUUAGUGGCGGACGGGUGAGUAACACGUGGGAACGUGCCUUUUGGUUCGGAACAACUCAGGGAAACUUGAGCUAAUACCGAAUGUGCCCUUCGGGGGAAAGAUUUAUCGCCAUUAGAGCGGCCCGCGUCUGAUUAGCUAGUUGGUGGGCUAAAAGCCUACCAAGGCGACGAUCAGUAGCUGGUCUGAGAGGAUGAUCAGCCACACUGGGACUGAGACACGGCCCAGACUCCUACGGGAGGCAGCAGUUAGGAAUCUUGCGCAAUGGGGGAAACCCUGACGCAGCCAUGCCGCGUGAAUGAUGACGGUCUUAGGAUUGUAAAAUUCUUUCAGCGGGGACGAUAAUGACGGACCCGCAGAGAGCCCGAUCG